Molecule: ribosomal RNA, 396 nt
Filed under: uncultured bacterium
Lineage: Bacteria
Description: bacterial SSU rRNA
Rfam family: Bacterial small subunit ribosomal RNA
Source: RNAcentral
AUUGAACGCUGGCGGCAUGCCUUACACAUGCAAGUCGAACGGCAGCACGGGAGCUUGCUCCUGGUGGCGAGUGGCGAACGGGUGAGUAAUGCAUCGGAACGUGCCCUGAAGUGGGGGAUAACGUAGCGAAAGUUACGCUAAUACCGCAUAUUCUGUGAGCAGGAAAGCAGGGGAUCUUCGGACCUUGCGCUUUUGGAGCGGCCGAUGUCGGAUUAGCUAGUUGGUGGGGUAAAGGCCCACCAAGGCGACGAUCCGUAGCGGGUCUGAGAGGAUGAUCCGCCACACUGGAACUGAGACACGGUCCAGACUCCUACGGGAGGCAGCAGUGGGGAAUUUUGGACAAUGGGCGCAAGCCUGAUCCAGCCAUGCCGCGUGAGUGAAGAAGGCCUUCGGGUU